RNAcentral lists this ribosomal RNA (232 nucleotides) under uncultured bacterium. RNAcentral describes it as "partial 16S ribosomal RNA". It matches the Rfam family "Bacterial small subunit ribosomal RNA", at positions 335 to 564 of the family's 1533-position model. The record is from RNAcentral.
CCACCUACGGGAGGCAGCAGUGAGGAAUAUUGGUCAAUGGCCGGAAGGCUGAACCAGCCAAGCCGCGUGAAGGACGAAGGUGCCAAGCAUUGUAAACUUCUUUUGUCAAGGGACAAAAUCAGGCUCGAGAGCCUGACCGAGGGUACUUGAAGCAAAAGCAUCGGCUAACUCCGUGCCCGCAGCCGCGGUAAUACGGAGGAUGCGAGCGCUAUCCGGAUUUAUUGUGUUUAAA